This 84-nucleotide transfer RNA is filed under the name Haliotis rubra (blacklip abalone). RNAcentral's name for it is "tRNA-Leu". It matches the Rfam family "tRNA". Rfam says of the family: Transfer RNA (tRNA) molecules are approximately 80 nucleotides in length. Their secondary structure includes four short double-helical elements and three loops (D, anti-codon, and T loops). Further hydrogen bonds mediate the characteristic L-shaped molecular structure. tRNAs have two regions of fundamental functional importance: the anti-codon, which is responsible for specific mRNA codon recognition, and the 3' end, to which the tRNAs corresponding amino acid is attached (by aminoacyl-tRNA synthetases). tRNAs cope with the degeneracy of the genetic code in two manners: having more than one tRNA (with a specific anti-codon) for a particular amino acid; and 'wobble' base-pairing, i.e. permitting non-standard base-pairing at the 3rd anti-codon position. Lineage: Eukaryota; Metazoa; Mollusca; Gastropoda; Lepetellida; Haliotidae. The record is from RNAcentral.
GUCAGGAUGGCUGAGCGGUCUAAGGCGCCAGACUCAAGUUCUGGUCCACGAAUGUGGGCGUGGGUUCAAAUCCCACUCCUGACA